GGUCUGAGAGGAUGAUCCGCCACACUGGGACUGAGACACGGCCCAGACUCCUACGGGAGGCAGCAGUGGGGAAUUUUGGACAAUGGGCGUAAGCCUGAUCCAGCCAUGCCGCGUGUCUGAAGAAGGCCUUGGGGUUGUAAAGGACUUUUGUCCGGGAGCAAAUCCCAGUGGUUAAUACCUACUGGGGUUGAGAGUACCGGAAGAAUAAGCACCGGCUAACUACGUGCCAGCAGCCGCGGUAAUACGUAGGGUGCAAGCGUUAAUCGGAAUUACUGGGCGUAAAGCGUGCGCAGGCGGUUGUGCAAGUCUGAUGUGAAAGCCCCGGGCUUAACCUGGGAACGGCAUUGGAGACUG
RNAcentral lists this ribosomal RNA (354 nucleotides) under bacterium LimC-1-J-44. RNAcentral describes it as "bacterial SSU rRNA". It matches the Rfam family "Bacterial small subunit ribosomal RNA", at positions 289 to 635 of the family's 1533-position model. The record is from RNAcentral.